CUAAUCUGGGAAUUAUAAAAAUAACAUCUCCUUUCCUGGAACACUUUCUGUCAAAGUAAUGACCUUUCAAACCAAAUGACAUAUAAACGAAAUCAGAGAAAGCUUAGUGAUACAUGCAUAUAAUUAAUAUGCUGGAUGUUUGUGACUAUUAAUUUGAGGAGACUUGAGUGUUGUCAUUCAAGUUGAUUGCUGAUUACUGUAUUGGUUAUCUCCAUCUUCCAUAGUUUUCUAUUCUUUUUAUUUCUAUUCUUAUUUUUAUUGUUUCCUUCCUUCUACUUCCUUAGGUAAAUUUACUAUUUUUUGAGCUUCUUAAGGUACAAACUCAGAAGCUUAGACACUGAUUUCAAACUUCUCUCCUAAAGUUUGCAAGUGUUUGCUUCAUCUGUUUUAAAUCUUUCACAUUUUGGGCCUACACUUUUAGGCUUAUUAUGUUUUUUGAUUAGUUUAUUAUUUUGUCAUUGAGAAAUACCACCUUUAUCUUUGGUAAUAUUUCUUAUAUUAAUGUCAACUUUGUUUGAUAUUAAUAUAGGAACUUUGGCUUUCUUAUUCCUAGAGUUUACAUGGUAUAUACUUUCUUAUCCCUUUACUUUUAAAUUAUCUGUGUAUAAUUAAAGUGUGUUUCUUACAGAAAGUAUACAGUUGAGAAUUGCCUUGUUUUAUCCUUUCUGGGGGUCACUGCCUUACAAUUGUCAUUUUUUGGUGUAUUUACAUUUAAUAUAAUUAUUGAUAUAGGUGGCAUUAAGUCUAUGUACCUUUACAGUCAGUUUUCUAUUUAUCUCAUAGGUUCUUUAUUUUGUUUUCUUUUUGUUUCCUUCAAUCAUUUGGAUUGAAAAUUUGGGGUAUUAAAUUAUAUCUUUCUUCAGCUUUCACUUAAUUAUCUCUAAAUAGGUAUUCUAUUAGCAAAUAUGUAUCUUUAAUUUAUCACAGUCUCUAAUCUCAUUAUUUUUGCUAUUACGGUCAUGAAUUUUACUCCUCCCUAUAUUACAAACCCCAUACACAUUGCUCUGAUUUUGCUUUAAAGGAAAAUACAUUUAAAAUUUUUAAGGAAAUUAUUUUAAAUGAAAAUAUAAUAAAUUCUUUUAUAUUUACCAACAUGUUUACCACUGUAUGUUUAGCUCUACUUCUUUGUCAUACCUGAGUUCUCUAUGGAAUUUCCUGAGUUCCUAACAUGAUCUCUUCAUUCUGAUUGACCAGACUCACUGGUCUCUUAGCCUUGUUCCAGCCCUGGUAAGUAUUCAGUUUCAAGAUCUCUCAUGGUGGUUCUUCCCUAUUUUUCAUUCUUUUCAAGGUCCUGUGGAAUCUUACUCUUGACUUGCACAGUUCAGUACUCAAAGACUCAAGGAGUUCCCUGUGUAGAUUUCUGGAGUUCCUUUUCUGUAUAGUUUCAACAAAAACUGAAAACCAAACUCCAAUCUGCUGAAAAGAAAAAAUACCUUAGAUUUAUUUAAAUCUAAUUGAUACCCACAGAAUAUAUACCUUACUUUCUUUGUCCUUUUUUCUAAAUUUUUUUAUAACACCACAAAUAGAUACAGGGGUAUGAAUUAGGUUAUGGCAGUAAUACAGGUGAUAAACUGUAGCAGCUUAUAGUAUGGUGACAGUGGAGGAGAUGAAAAGUGGUUGGCUUUGGAGUAUUAUUUUAAAGGUAUUUCAGAAUUAGAUUAGGUUGGAUUAUAAUAGGAGAGAAGAUACAGAUAACUCCAAGUUGGUAGAAUUCUGUUGUCAUGUACUGAAGGGUAGCAUCAUGGAAGGAGCAAAUUUGGAACAUAGAAACCAUGAGUUUGACACUGGAAAACUUAAGGGUACUACUUCAAACACCUAAAUAUAAAUAUAACAAAUCAGGUACGUCAAUGUAAACUUCAGGAAAAAGAUCAGCGCUGGAAAUACAAAUUGAGAUCUGUCAAUGUACACAUAGUAUUUAAGGACAUGAAAUAGGAUGAGGUCACCUGACAAAGCUUAUAUAAAUAGACCAAAAAGUGGUCUAACGGCUGACCACAUAAAUAUUUAGGGAGUAGAGAGGUAAGAGCAAAGGAGACUAAGAAGGAGUAUCCAGUUAUAUAAGAAGAAAAAUGAAAGAAUAAUGUCCUGCAAGACAUCUGAGGAAAGUGUUUUAAAAAGAAAAAUGGAUCAAAUGGGCUGAAUACCAUUGCUUGACUGCUGUGAGGUGAUAUGGCCACUGGAUUUGGCAAUUCAGACUUACAGAUGGCAAUGAAAAGAUCUGUUUCAGUGGAGUUGGUUGAGGAAAGUCCACCUGAAACAGAUUCAGGAGGAAACGUAAACAAAAGAUGCAGAGGCAGGUAAUGAGGAGUUCUGCUAUAAAGUUCUGAGGAGUUCUGCUAUAAAGAGCAGCAUGGAACUAGAGUGGGAGCUGGAAAACAGAGAUAUAGCAGAAACAGUGUCCUGGAAAAAUAAGGGGCAAGGAAUGGGAUCCAAAGAAAAGGUGGGGGCAAUGAUUUAAGCAGCACUUUAAUAAUUUAAUAGGAAAGAAGGAGGUGAAAUACAAAUACAUUAAAUGGGUAAAUGUGAUGGUAAAGGUGUUUUUUCUUAUACUCAGCACUACUUUUGCAAUGUUAGGGGGGAAAAGGAAAUAAUUUUAAAGUUUUCAGGAGUACCACAUGAAGAAGGGAGAUUCUAACUAAACACAUGACCCUCAAAGAUCCAAAGAAUGAAAUAUCACCACCUGCUAGAUUUUGCAAUCACAUCCCUACAACUUAAAACACACUGUUGGCUUCUGGUAGGAAUCCUUAAACUGUUUUACGUUCUGAAGUGACUUUAACUUUGAAAUAUUUAAAAACUGAAAUGGAAAUAUCGUUUUAGAUAUUCUUCUGAGUGACCUUUAAUAUAUCAUGGAAAAGGCAAUUAAUGCAAUGUGUGUGGGUCCUUUAAAAACAAUUAGUAAUCAUAAUAGAGUCAUCAUGUAGUGGAACACUUUGCCUGAUUUCAAGAAAUUUAUAAAGUUUGGUAACAGUGGGAAGACUUCUUCUCCCCACAUACAUUGGCAGAGAAUAAAAAAGGAGGCUAAGAAAUUCCCCAACCACUUCCCGGUAUAAUUUCUGAAGGUGAAUUCAAGAAUUAAGGAAAAGGAAAGAGAACACAGAUUCCCUGUCAGUAAUGAAACUGAGAUAAGUGAUGUCGAAGGAGACCUGGAUGAAACAAGUCUGUCUCCUGUUUCCUCUCUGCUAGGGUGAAUGGGUUAACAUGAAGACGUAGGUCAAGACAGAAGAUGAUAAACAAUCAUAAUUAGAUAUGCAUUUGAUAUAUUUUCUUUACUUUGAUUCUGUUUAAAUGGAAUAAAUAAUGAUUCAUAAUAUAUUCACAGAGUGGAUUUUUGCUGCUAGCUGUUAAUUCCCGGAGGAACCAACUAGUGAUGAUAGCACAGCCCACAAAGUUGCCAGUUCUCUAUUUGCUGCUUUCUUCAGGAUUUUGCUCUUAAUUAAUUAAUUCAAAAUAAAAGUGCACAUCCCAAGGAUUUGUUUUCAUCAUAUAUAUCCAUAAGACAUUCAUUUCAUAAUUUGUAUUUGGGAAAGAAUUGCCUUGUGUGUGUGGCGAAUUACACAAAGGUAAGUGCAAUUAAACACAGAGCGCGCAUUCUUAUGACAGCAUAUGUUCAGGGACCGGGGACCAACAAGCUCCCAGAAGUGAACAAAGCCUCCAGGAUAACACGGAAUGGGCAGGUCCCACACAACAGCAAAUGGAGCAGGGACUUAGCAUUUUGCCUAAGAACCAGUUGUAAAGAAUAAUUAGUCUAUAAAGAGCCACUUGCCAUACAUCAGACAUACUUAAAACAAAGCUAAAAAAUAGCUUUCCCAUGUCUCACCUCAAUAACAGGAAAAUAAUGAUCUACAUAUGCAAAGAGAAUAAGAUUUGAACUAUCCAGAAAGCUCAAGCUAGUAAUACAUUUGUAGAAACAGUUUUAGCUGGAUGAUUGCUCCAGUUCUUUAACAUGACUGGAAACCAGAUUUUUAAAAAAAUUUCAUUGCAAACCAGUAUGAAAUUAAUGAUAAGGGCAACAUCAGCAAUGACCCAGUUCCUCACUACAAGGCCACCAUGCAGUCUCCAGUUGCUACCCCAUGAUCUUUUCACCUAGUUUUCUACUCUGUAAGUCACUUUGAAAUAGAUUUUUUUCCCUAUCUUGCAAAUAUUCUGUGUUCUUCUAGAAAGAUUGCCUAAAGCAAAUAGCAAUCAUAGAAAAAAGCAAGUCCAUUCAUGAUAAAUUUUGUCUGCACUUAUCAGUUUUAAUUUUUGCCUCUAAAGUUGGAAAACAAUAAUUUCAUUUUUUUAAUAAUCACCACCUCCAUGGGGUUUGAUUCCAAUGUGUAUCUACAACUGGACUUUUUUCCCCCUGAAUUCUUUUAUCUCAUGCUAUAAUUAGUGAUAUCCACAAUAAUAUUUAUCUUGUCCAAAGGGUGACCUAAAUCUUUCACUUAAUCUAUUAUAGUAUAUAUUCAUGUGUACAUGUUAUGUAUGAGUCUAUGCUUUAUUGAAAAAUUAGGAUAUUGAUAGAAUAUUUCUGGCACUAAAAAUCACAAUUUCUUCUAAAAAGUGUAAAAUUUCCCAAUAGAACCUCUGACAUUUCAAGGAUAUUUAUAUUAACUGACAUAGAACCUUCCUAUUUAAAAUUGAUUUUGUAUUUUCCUUCCAUUGACCCAGAAGCACUAUUUCCCUGUAAUUCUCCUAAAUACGUACCCUGCAAGGUUUAUUGUGACCAGAGUCCAUGCUCUUUAUUUUUCUCAGAUCAAAUAAAAGACUGUAUCUAUCAAAAGCUAGGAAAACCAAAGAGAGAAGAGAGAUAACACAAAGGAAAUCUCGAAAUGUUCAGUGAAUUCUAUAAAAACAUGGCUUAGAGCCAAAACCAAACAAUUUGGUUUUUAUCUGAUGAUUAUGUUGGAGGGGAAAUUUCUGGAACUAAACUAAUGGGUUGACUCAGUACAGAAAUUAAUAAAAGUAAAUAGAUAUCCCAAAUUUGUCUGAGAUACAAAUUUAUUUUCACUGUACAUUUUUCAGCUUCAAGUAAGCUCCACAAUAGGUGCCAGGCCAAUCAAAACACACUCUCUUGAACAGCUAGUUCUUAAAAUAGAAACUCACUUACUAGAAAAGUGUAUCCUGCAUCAUGUUCCCUACCUCUUCAGUAAAAAGAAUCAGAUAUUUCCUAUUGAUGGGGUUCCAAAGGCUUAUGGGUUCCAUUAAUGCAGAUAAUAAAAACGGACAAUAGAAAAGAAAAAAAUCUCUUCUAAACUUAGUCAAGAUGCCCGAUCAUCACUGAGGGCUUGACAUUAUUUUCUAAGGAAGGCCCCAAAUCAGAGAAUAUUAGGUUUAGUAGUAUUAAAGAAAAAAAUUAUUCUUACACAUGUUAAAAUGAUAAAGAAGACUUUAUUCAGGACUAUUGCAACUGCAGCCAAGACUAUUGUAAUAGAAGAGAGUGAUCUGCUCAGUUCUAAAUACAACAAAGAUAGAGGAUUCAUGACCAAGGAAAAGAGUGAGGGAGUCAGUAGAUAGAAAUUAUUAAGUGGGAACAUCAGUGGUAAGGGGAGUCUGCUAGGUGAAAACAGGGUUCUUGCUGAAGGUAGGUCAAGGAUUUACACAUCAAAGAUGGGCAUGAGGAACUUGAUCAGAUACCAGGGUUCAUCUCCUAUCAGCAGUGGGGGGAUUCUUGCUAACUGAUUUAGCAGAAUUCUUGCAAAGAGUAGGCAAUGCAGGUGUGGCAAGGAUGGGACAGACCCAGAGGCCAAAGCUGAGAAGAGAGCUCAGAGGAGUCUAACUAAAGUCUUGUCAGGAGAGUCUUUGUCAGCACUAUGAUGUAGAAACUCCAAACUGACAGUGGCCUAAACAAAUACAGCUUGAUUUCUCUUUAAUUGCAGCUUAAGGCUAAAAUAAUGCCCCAUGACUUUAGGAAAACAAGCUAGUCCUAGCUUUUUGCUAGAAAAACACAUCCUUAAGACAAGGCUUACAACUCAAGGUUCAAAACGGCCAACUAAAAAUACAAGUUAUCUGCUCCUCUGACAAAGAACAUGCAAGAGGCUGCAAGGGUCAUCUCUGCUCCAUGUAUUGCUAGCUUAGAUAGUUCUGCUCUUGCUGGUCCAUUCAAUAUGGUCUCACCUACUCACCUUGGGGGGCUCCGUACUAGCUUUUGAUUGAAGCAGCCUUGUCAUUCUUCAGGGGCCUUCCUUGUGAGCUCUCAUUCCCUAGGGCUUAUCUCUCUCCACACAGGCUCCACACAGGAUACCUUGGGGUUCUUCACACAAAGGCUGGUUUCCAAAAAAUAAAUAUGGAAACUGUAAUGUCUCUUAACGUGAGUGCCAAAAGUCAUACUAUGUCAUGUCUACUAUAUUCUUUUUGUCAAGGGAAGUCAUGGCCAGCCUGGACUCAAGAGGACAGGAAUGGACUCCCUUGCUAGAUGGGAAGAAUAUUACAUGGCAAUAAAAGGAAUUGUUUGCAGCCAUCUUUGCAGAUAAUCCAUCAUAGUUAAUCAUAAGACCUCCAAAGUUUGUGCACUCAAAUCCAAAUAGUAAAUUUGGAUUUUUUUUUUGACAUAAGUUUUUGACAUUAUUAAAAAAAAAUUUAUUAUGCCAAGCCCUAGGAUUAGUUCAUAAAGUUCUCCUGCUGUUAAUUCAUGCUGUUUCUAUUUGCAUGAAUGCUUUGUAUGUGUUUUUGACUCCUGGCCACAGAUUUACCAUCAGAAAGUAAGACACAAUCUUUUUCCUAAGUAAUAGAAAAUCAUGAAAAUUUUACACAAAGAAGUGCCCAAUUUUAACUCUUCUAGAGAAUGUUGCUUAAUACCUGUAUUUCAUAUUUUAUAAAGACUGAGAGAGGGAGUUGUGUUUCAUGUCAAGAGGAAAGAAGCCACCGUCAAUCUUGGUCAUCAAACAUCAGUAUUUGAAAGUUAUCUCUGUCUUACUUGCUGCCUAAACCCCAGUUCACUAUUUGUCCAGCCCUGUCAAGUUUACCUCGAAUACAUCUCUGAUAUUGAUACCUUCUUUUUCAGUGUCCCUGCAAAAAUGAGUGCAAAUAACAUGACCUCUUACCUGUUACUGACAUGGUCUCCUAACCAGUUUUCCUAUCAUCCAGCUUCCUCUUCUCCAGACCAUUCUUCUCACAAACACAAGAUUACUCUGCUUAAAUAUCUCACUGAUCACAUCAAUUACUUGACUCAAAGCCUUUAAUGGUCCCCUGUAGGGGAAAUAGCUUACAUUCACCAUAUUUUAAGCCCAGAGAAUUACAAAUACUAAGAUUCACAUCAUUCAACUCAGACAAUUUAUGUCAGGAAACCACAAAUGAUAAAAUAUUUAUUAAUACUUAAGGGUGUGAGCUAGAUGGAUAGGGAGGUGUUAAUUAACAUACUAUGACAUCACUGAACUAAAGCUAAUUAACUCAACCUACAUCAAAGCACUUUGGAUAUGCUUCUGAUGUUGGGAAUAUAGGUAAAGGUAAAAUCAUUUAAAAAAGUGUUUAAAAAAUAAGAUGAAUUGAUUCAAGGAGAUUAAUAUCAAAUCAAAAAGCAGGACCUUGAUUUGUCAACAUAGCUCUUACUGCUGCUACCUCUCAAAUCCAAACCAUCUCCUACAUGUCUCCUCUCAUUCUUUUCAGCCAGUACUAUGGUUCCUUUGAAACUUCUUCUCCUAGAUGUAAAUUAUAAAGGAAACAUAGAAUCUCAAAGUAUUCCCCUACAUAGACAAGAAAGUAGGAUGGGUCCUCAUAUGUUCAUUUGCAUGGGUUUUGCCAUCAUGUUUUUCUUUCGUCUUACUCUUCAUUGAAUUUUCUACUGCCAUUAGACUGGUUAUUUGAAAUGUCGUCAAGCAGAAUUAAAAGAAAGUCGGAGAGAAUGGCAGGAUAGAAGAACAAGAGACUCCCUGCACCCACCCCUGUAGGCUAAUGCUUAGGGAAGGACGUGACUCCAGGAAGUUGGAUAAACUAGAAACGUAACAGGUGUGGAUCUGGUAAUCUAGUACAGCCGAACACACUUCCAAAAGCCUCCUUUGCACUGUUCUGCUAGAGCUGGCAACAAACAUGCCUUUUCCUUUUCUGGAAUUAUAAAUUUUAAAGCUUGAGCUGCAGACAGCCCUCUCUCCUGAGGGUGUAGAUUUAAUCCUUUAAAGAAGAAGAUGAAGCCAAGCAGAAAAACUAAGGUAAGAGAUGGAGAGAAAACCCAAAAAACAUUGUAUUAGCUCUUUCAAUCAGCCAUACCAUAUGUGGGCUAGUUCACCUCACUGACUUUUCAUUGUAAUGAAUAAAACUUCCUUUCACUUUGUUUUUUAAUUGAAGUUCGUUUGGCUAUCUCUUAUAGUUGAAAUAAUUCUGAUGAAUAGUAGAAUAAAAAAGAUACCUUGGCUUAUUGUGGUAAGUUUGUGUGUAUUGUAACUCCAGGGGGAAAAUAUUGCCAUUUUACCCACAAUACAUUGAGUAAAUCAAGAAGAUAUAAUGAGCUGUUUUAGAUUUGUAUUUCAUUGUUGGACUAUGUUUCAUUAACAGUGGCACUGCUACGAGAGUGGGUCUUGUGGAUUAAGGUCUUAAUAGUUUCAAAGAUGUGGUCUAGUUGUUAAAGCAUAAAACUUUUACUUGUUACAUGCUAUUAUGAAAUUUAUUAAACUCUAAGCAUUAUUAUUUUUGUGUGUAAAAUGGUGUUAAUAACAGUUUUUACUCCAUUAUAUUUUGUAAAAAUUAAAUGUGAUAAUGAAUGAAAAUGCCCCUGGAAAUAAAAUAAUGAACAUUAA
Molecule: non-coding RNA, 8705 nt
Organism: Manis javanica (Malayan pangolin)
Lineage: Eukaryota; Metazoa; Chordata; Mammalia; Pholidota; Manidae
Source: RefSeq, a predicted model, not a curated record